Molecule: long non-coding RNA, 6459 nt
Organism: Leptopilina boulardi
Lineage: Eukaryota; Metazoa; Arthropoda; Insecta; Hymenoptera; Figitidae
Exons: 2
Source: RefSeq, a predicted model, not a curated record
UUAUCCUCACUAGCAAAAGUAAAUAAUACCUUUAAGUUUAAAAAAAUUUUUUUUUAUUGACAAAUUAAGUUGACUACAAAAAAUUCUUUCUACAUAUAGUUAGUUAUGUAUUCUUUCAUAAUAAAAUUACUUUUUAUUCUCUGUCUUUAUUUUGUAUUAUUAUCAGCUAGAAUUUCCAAAGAAAAGCUUAGAAGGCUCUACAGACGAAGAGGCAAGACAUUACAACUGUAGCAUACAUUUUUUAUAAGAAUAGUAUAGAAAUGCAAACUUAUUGGAUUUAGUUUUAAUAGUGCGAUGACAAAAUUAUAAAUACUUACUGUAAAUAUAAAUAAAAUUAUAAUGAUAAUUAUUUAAAUAUAAGUUUACAUAAAAUUAAAUUAAAUUUUUAACUUCAAAUUUAUUAAAAAUUAUUUUUGAAAUAUAUUAUAAAUUUACAAUAUAGAAUUCUAAAUUAAAAAUUUCAUUACUAUAUAUGUAUGUGUAAAUAAUUUUGAUAAAUGAUACAAUUUUCAUAAUUAACGAGAUUCAAAUUCAAAAGAUCCUCGCGCCACUUCCAGUAGCAGACGAGAAACGAAAAAUCAUUCACCAAUCAGCGUGCAGCGUUUAAUAUCAAAUAUACGGUUGGUUUUCUUUGUCCUCUAUAAGUUUUUCAUCUUUGUCGCAUAUUCUCUGGUUACUUUCGAUUCUGCAUCAAAUGCUAAAUUCUCCAAAAAUAUUGUAAGAAGUGCUGUCAACUAUGGUAGAUAUAUAUUUUUAGACAAUGAUCCUCUGAAUAAAGGGGGGGGGGUCGCUGAUUAUAAAUAUGAAAUCAGAUUUUUAAAAUUCAAAAUGGCGGAUUUAUAAAAAAGAUUAUAUAAAAAAUAUUUUUUUAAUACACUGUAAUAAAAUUUAUUUAAUUCAAAUAAAUAAUCGGUUACUUGGUUAUUAUCAAAUAAAUAUUUACUUGAAUAAAAUAUUUUUUAUUUGAAUCAAUUGAAUAGUAUUUGUUUUCAGAAAUUAUUGUUUCAAAUACAGUUUAUUUGAUGCAAAUAAAAAUUAUUUGCUUCAUGUAAAUAUUUAUUUAAUAAUAGUCAACUAAUCGAGUAUUUGAAUCAAAUUUUUUUUUCAUCAGUGUAUUGAAAGUUGGAAAUAUUUAUUUCAAUUUAUAGAAUACUUUUCUUCUGUAUAGUUUUUGACAUUUAAUUUUCUCUUAUAAUCGAUUGUUUUUCGAAAGUCAUGAUGAUAUUAAGUUUUGUUGAAUUAUUGUUCAAUUCCUACCAGGGAGUAGUAUAAGGAGACCGAACGCCAUGCGCGGAAAGUGGCCGCACUUUUGGUGAUCGUAAUUCUCAUGGGCACACUUCUGUCGAUAUCAGCGCUCUUAGUGUAGAAAAGUGGCACUAUUUGUCGUCAGCUACUGUGAUUAUUCAGUGCACAUGUUGUUUUCAUUAGACAUUACACUUCACAAAAUAUUUUAUUUUAAGCGUGUUAAAAUUUUAUCACAAUUCAGUCGUAAUUUAUUUACUAAACGAUAAACCGCACACGAUAAACAAACUAAAAAAGCAGAGGUUAUAUCAUGCUUUCUUGUUUACAACGAUAGUGUCAGCCUCUCCGAGUGAGGCGCUGCUAUCGAUAGAAGUGUGCCCAUGGGAAUUACGAUCACCAAAAGUGCGGCCACUUUUGACGCGGAUUCAUAAUGGCCGUUCGGUCUCCUUAUACUACUCCCUGAUUACUACAAUAAAAAUUUAUACCAUUCACUGUUUUUCUGAGGUUAAGUGGAAAGUUUCUCUGAGAUAGUUUUGUUGGUAGUUAAAGACUUCUUUCUUCCAGAAAUUCGAUUUCAAUUUAUUUAAAUUAGUCACUCAUAUUUUUUAAAUAAUAAGAAAUUUAUAUAUUUUUUUAAGCUUUCUAGAACAAAAAUGUACUUAAGGCUGCUUCUGCAAUAACUAAAUUGCAUCGUUUUGAAGAAGAUGCGCGCGCAUCCAUUGCCAACAGUCGACAAAAAAAUUGUAUGCCAUAUUGUGGAAGGAGCCUUACAUUCAAAGAAAGGUAAGGGUACGGCCACAGCUCAGCUAUCUAAGUAGGGUUGUCAUAGUAACGUAUAAGAGUGAGAGAAAUAAAAAAUGUUUUUAUUUCUCUCACUCUUAAACGUUUACCAUGACGAUCCUACUUAGAUAUAGCUGAGAUAUGGAUGUACUCUGAUUUUUCACUAAAUUAACGAUUACAAGACUCUGUUAUGAGAUAGAGACUUAAAAUUUUGCUUGGUCUUGUAUUUUUUAAUUUAAAAAUUAUUUGUAAAAAAUUUAAAUCAAUUUGUUAAUCAUCUAAUCACCUAAAAAAUUGUCCCUGACGUAGAAUCCUCCUAAAGUGAUGAAAUGUAAAUUUUUUUUUUAUAACUAUAAUAAAAUUUGAAUAGUAUCCGCUCUUUUUUAUGUUAACAACAAUAUUUAUUACAUAAUAAUUAUACGAUAUAAUAAUAGUAAUAACCUCUAUAGAUUUACAGUACAUCAUUCGCCCUAAUCUCAAUACAAUAUGUUUUAUGGAAUGAUUAUACAAAGAUUUUGUUGAUACGCAUCAUAACCUCGUCCUCAUAUUCAGCAGGUUGUUGUUUAUCAGGCGUUCCUGCAUUUUUCAUAAUACAUGAUUUCCCUUCAGCAAAAUAAUAAUAAUAAUAAUAAUGCAAUGCGCGCGAAUCUAUAUCUAUCACGCUAUUAGAAAGAUGAAUAUUUUUUUUGUGCAUGAUGAUCGGAUCUUUGGGAAAUAUAUGAAAACCGCUGAUGACAAUGAGAGAUGAAUUUUUUUUACAUCCAAUUGCAUAAAUACUAUCCUUCCGGUUUGACGAUUGGAAGGUUUGUCCCCAUUCGUCAUUUGUCAUAAUUCUCGUCAACUAUCGUACCCUGGUCUAGUGAAAAUUUAGUGACUUUAUAGUUCAAAUUAAAAAUUACUAUUAAGUUAAAAUUACUAGAAAGUUACUAUUUUAUUGUUAAAAUUAAAAGUUACUAUCAAGUUACUAAAUUUUCACUACAGCAGGGUGCGGUAGUUGAAGAGAAUUAUGACAAAUGGCGAGUGGGGACAAACCUUCAAAUUUUGAAAUGUCGUGACACUUGUAUAAUAAUUUUAUUAGUUCAUGGCGUAUUUCUUAAAGGCCAACGCACAAUAAAUUCGUGUAUUUCGAUAGUGCGCUUUGUUCAUGUCGAUGGAAAAAAGUUAUUGUAGAAACAGCUUUACACCCUACGCUACGAACUAAUAAAAUUAUUAUAGAAAUGUUAUGACUCGUCAAAUCAAAAAGACAGUGUAUGCAAUUGAGUGUUAUACAAUAAAAAUUUCGAAUUUUUUUAUAAAUCCUCAUUUUCUCAGCGGUCAUAGUGAUCAAAAUGGCGCAACUAUAUAUAUAUAGGAACAAACAUUUUUUAUUUCACAGCGAUGAACUCAUUAUACAGCGAAACGGGCUACGAUUAAUGGGAAUGAUUUAAUCAUCUUUUUUUUCGGGUGGGGGAAUUUUUUUUAAAUUACUAGAUUCUCUUGUGUGGCAUUAUUUUAAACUUUCGUGUUCUUCUGCCCAAGUUGUGCCAAAUUCUUCCUUUUUCAAUAUCGACCAUUUUUUUUUAUACAUUAAUCUUGACUGCUUUAAAAAGAUAUAUAUAUAUUUUCUGUCUCAGAGAGAAAAAAUUAUUUAUACAGCAAGUAUUUUAGGCGCAUUAUGAUUUUAUGAUUGUGAUCAGCUGUCACCAGAAGGAGGCGCCAUUUUCGGCAGUAGAACGAAAGCAGCGAGCAGUGUAUGUGUGUGUGUUUGUGGACAUUUUUUUCAGAAGCAUAUUAUAAUAACGACGACAUUAUUGUAAAUCUCGAAAAAAAAACCAAAAGAUUUACAAACACCUUCCUUUUUUUAUUUACAAGAUCCGUGCUCUAAAGUGCCAUAACCUCGGGUAUACAAUGACAAGUUAACCCCCAUUAAAUAUAUAUUUAUAAUAUAAUAUGCGUUUAUUAUAUAUAUAUUAGUUUUAAGUAGCAUUUAACGUUAUGGGGUAUCGGUCACUUAUAUAUGUAUACAAUAUGCAGGUCGCUAAUCGAUCAUUGAUAAGUCUCAUGUGGCGAUUAGUAUGAAUUAGGACCGGUUGGGUGGGGGAGGGUACGUAAUUAUAUUAGGUACUAUCGUAUUAUACUUAACAUUAGUCAUUAAUUUAUAUAUGCCAUGAAAACGUACUCGAGGAGUGAAUAUAUCUCUGACGUCAGACAGGCCUUUUGGUAAACGAUGCUGUUUUUUUUUUUUUAGAAAUGAAAGCUACUUUUAUUUACGAAAAAAUAAAAAAAAAAAGAAUUUUAUUACUUUUCCUAGAUUUUUUUUUAAAAAGAUUUAUUCCACUUAUUUGUUAUAAAAAGCACAAUGAGAAGAGGCAUCGAGGUACGUUUUAGGCACGUAAUGUGAACGCGUUGGAGCACCAAUAAUGGACGUUGCGAUAUCUUUCUUUUUUUUUUCGUUACAAACAUGGCAACCAAACUAAUCUGCUUAAAGCAGAAUGAAAUUUCUAAUUGUAAAUUUUAAGCUUUUACAUGAGAGAGAAAAGGAUAGAAAUAUCUUUUGUCCUUUUCUCUCUCAUGUAGAAGCUUAAGAUUUACGAUUAGAGAUUUCAUUCUGCUUAGGCCUAAUAAAGUCGUUUGCUCAUUACAAAGUUGUAAACAAAACAAGUUUCUAAAAAACGACAGAACAAACACACCUGUUUUACGUGCACCUUUUAAUUGCAAUUUCUAACCAAUCAGAAUCAAUGAAACUAAACUAUACUUUUAUAAGCAGGUUGAGAACCUUUUCGUACUCAUAGCGAGAAUCUGGAAAACGCCUACUCCAAAAAGUCAUGGACAGUUAACCGUGAAAAAGUUUUGUUAAAUGCAAUUAUAUAUUAGUAAGUAAAUAUUAAUUAUUAUUCAAAAAUGUUGAAUGAAGAACUAGUGCAACUUUUCCGAAAAUGGGAUAUUAACGCUUCGAAAGUUGAUAUAACGAAUUCAGUUUCGCACACUUAACCUAAAAAUGAAAAUUAAAUAUUUGAUUAUUAGAACAAAAUUUUUAUAUAAAAUGAAAUAUUAAAAAUAAAUUUUUUUUUUAUAAUUACUUUGCCGCAUUUCAUAAAUUUUUUUUUUUUGCAUAAAUAUUUUAAAACAUUAACGAAAUAUUUAGUCAGAUAUCGCAACGCCAGUGCCGAGGAAGACGCGAGCAUACCUUUUUUUCUUAUGAGUGACAUCUGACGGCCGAGAUAACUCUCUUCAAGCACGUUUCGCUAAAUGCAUCAUUUUUUUUUUUCAUUCUCACGCUUUUUAUUUUUGCAUUCGCUCUUCCUCUCUCGUUUCUUUUUUUUACAAACUUAUUACACAAUCAUUCAAAAACUUGGAAUUUCGGGUUUAAUUAUAUAUUAUAUUUGUAUAAUGAAAAUGAAAAAGAAAACCCAAAGCACACUACAAAUCUUCUUUGAUAUUUGCUGUUAAGAGCAAAAAAAAAAAUCUAUAGCUACCGACUAUCUCUAGACUUUUGGUCUUCAUUCCUUUACUCUUUCGGAAUAGAUGUUGUGCCUAUAUAAUGUUUAAUUAUUAUUAUUAUUAUUAAUGAUUUAUUUCAAUCAUCAAUAAUAAUAAAAAAAAUAUAUAUUUCUUAAUGAUUAGAGAGAGAGAGAGGACGGAUCUUGUCUCUCAGCCUCGCUCACUUUUGGUUGAGAGUCACUGAUUGCCUCAACGAAUUUUUUCUUUUGACUAUUUUCAUUGUUCCACACCCUUAAACUUUACCUUUUCCAAUCUCAAUUUUUUUUUUUUGCAAUUCAAAAAAAAUUUUCUUUCACCCAGGAAAAGGUAAAGUUGGUUAUUUUCCGAAAAAAAAAUUUUUUUUCAGAAAAUAAUAACUCUCCACUCAAUGGACGGAGUUAGAAGAACAAAUCCUCCCUCCGAUGGACGAAUGAAGAGCGCACGAUUUUUUUUUUAUUAGAGCAGAGUUGAAGACUUGGAAAAAAAAUACGGAUAAAAAUGUAGCAUAUGUUUCUAGAUUUGUAUAAAUGGAUAUUUUUUUUUGUUUAUUUUUCUACGACACGAUUACGUAAUUUUUUAUUUCUUUCUUUCAAAUUUGCGGCACACACCUAGAAACGAAAUUAUUAUCAUAAUUAUUAUUAAUAAUAUUAUUAUUAUUAUUAUUGAUGCAAUGAUGUGUCUACAAAGCGAGGCUAAAAGUGAGUCUGAUUCGAUGUCACGAUUAUUCCGAAGCGACACAAUUUCUCUAAGUUAUAUUUUUUUUUUUGUCUUUAAGUACAAUGCUGCCGGUAUUAUGACGUUCGAUUUUUUUUUUUAUUAUUAAUUAAUAAAUCUCACGCGAUAAUUUUAAUUGGUCCUGGCGAACGAAAAAAAUGAGAAAUUUGAUUUUCAUUAACUUUAUAACUUCUCAAUUCAUAUAUAUAUAUAUAUUUAUAUGUUCGGCGUAAAAUUUGAUUUUCUUUCAAAAAAAAAAACAAA